This 1745-nucleotide long non-coding RNA is filed under the name Homo sapiens (human). Its description in RNAcentral is "non-protein coding lnc-CISD2-1:8". Lineage: Eukaryota; Metazoa; Chordata; Mammalia; Primates; Hominidae. The record is from RNAcentral.
AACGCCCCUGAAUGCUUAUGCCGGUGGUUGGUAGAGGAAAUGGAAUUCCCCAGACUGGUAAGAGCGCGCGCAGACACAGCCUUGUCUCACGCGCCCAAUCAGGAGCGUGUGGUGGGAGGUGCCAAGGAUUAAUUACCAGAUACCUUUAGUCUAGCUCGGGCCGGGAUUUUGAGGUUUCCGGUGGAGCAGUACCUCUUGACUUGCUACUGGUACCUGGAAGAGAUGUAACACCUGACCAUGGGACAUCAAGUGACUGUGUGAAUCAAACUGCCCAUCAUGAAUUGUUGUUAUUUGACUCAUCAAACUGUACAACUGGAUGAACACAGGAGCAGUGCACUACAUAUGGGACUGGAACCAUGAAUGAGCAGGUGACUCAGACUCCUAUAGUACCUGCCUCUACUCCUUCAGCACUUCUCCCUCAACCCACAUAAACUGUCAUCAUAAUGAGUUCCCUCUGACCAGUUAAUGGAAGAGAAAAAAGUAUGGAUGUUAUGGAUAUCCUAACAUAUUUCUGGCCAUUGGACCCCUAGAAACCUGUGGCAAGUCCUGGAAGUUUUUCAAGGUUCAUCUUGCACCUUCUAGCAUGCAUAUGUCGUACCAAAGCAUGUAGAAUGCUGCCUACUUCUGCUCUUCAGUUUCAUUUAAUAUAAUUUCAUUACUCUGAUAAAUCAGUGUGAUGUUCUAUGGAAUAACAAAAGACCAUCAAGGUCCCUUCAUACCAUAUAGAGAACAGGAGAGUUGAUGUAGCCUGAGACAAGACAGUAAGGACUUACUGUUAUCCCUCCUAUUUAAACGUAGUCUGUUUCUGAUUCUCCUUAGAAUGGGGGUGGGGGGACAUUUCCAGAUCAAUAUCAGAUCAGUAUCAUGUCAACAUGGGUAUUAAUUUCUUCCGAAGAAGAUACCACACCUAGAACAGCAACCAUAAUUGGCAUCCCUACCUAAUUAAAGUUUGCAGUCCACUGUCAUUCUUCACUAGCCAUCUGGUUUUUAUAUUGUCAUUCUCUAUGAUGCAUCUGGUGGCCACAGGAAAUUUAAAUGGGAAUGUGGUAUGAAUCACCAUGGCAGCAUGGUGGCACUAAUCUCUGCAAUUCUUUUGGUUUUUCUAUUUUGCUUUUUUAUGUUUUGUAGAAAUGCAGUCUUGCCAUGUUAUAUAGGCUGGUCUCAAACUCCUGGUGUCAAGCAAUCCUCCUGCCUUGGUCCCCCUAAGUGCUGGGGUUACAGGCAUGAGCCACUGUGCCUGGCCAAUCUCUGCAAUUUCCUCAGGGAUAUAGCCCUGCUUUUCCUUUACUAUCUUAAUGAGGAGUGGUAGAAAGCAGACCUAAGCUGCUGUGUAGCACUUUCUACCAUAAUAGCAAUCCCUCCAUUGAUCAGGAAACCAAAAUAAAGAUUGUUGUUAAAAGAUACAUAUUACCACUACACAUCUGGGACUGGAGAAAUAGCCACAGUAUGGGUCCUUCUGGAUCUACUGUUAGCCACAGCCAGGCCAAGAUUCCAUCACUUGACUUCCUUAGGUUCCCUAUUCUGACCAGUUGUCCAGGGUAGAGUUUUGGGUUUCUAGUAUUAGUACAAGUUAAGAGACAGUGCCUUAAGAAUUCUAGCCAGCCUGGGCCGGGCGGUGGGUCACGCCUGUAAUCUCAGCACUUUGGGAGGCCGAGGUGGGUGGAUCACGAGGUCAGCAGAUCGAGACCAUCCUGGAUAACAUGGUGAAACCCUGUCUCUACUAAAAAUACAAAAAAAUUUACCUA